ACAAACUUGGUCAUUUAGAGGAAGUAAAAGUCGUAACAAGGUUUCCGUAGGUGAACCUGCGGAAGGAUCAUUAGUGAUUGCCUUAAUUGGCUUAAACUAUAUCCAUCUACACCUGUGAACUGUUUGAUUGAAUCUAACGAUUCAAUUUUUACAAACAUUGUGUAAUGAACGUCAUUAGAUCAUAACAUGAAAAAACUUUCAACAACGGAUCUCUUGGCUCUCGCAUCGAUGAAAAACGCAACCUGGGUCAUUUAGAGGAAGUAAAAGUCGUAACAAGGUUUCCGUAGGUGAACCUGCGGAAGGAUCAUUAGUGAUUGCCUUAAUUGGCUUAAACUAUAUCCAUCUACACCUGUGAACUGUUUGAUUGAAUCUAACGAUUCAAUUUUUACAAACAUUGUGUAAUGAACGUCAUUAGAUCAUAACAUGAAAAAACUUUCAACAACGGAUCUCUUGGCUCUCGCAUCGAUGAAGAACGCAGC
Molecule: unclassified non-coding RNA, 479 nt
Filed under: uncultured fungus
Lineage: Eukaryota; Fungi
Description: partial contains small subunit ribosomal RNA, internal transcribed spacer 1, and 5.8S ribosomal RNA
Rfam family: Eukaryotic small subunit ribosomal RNA (bases 1-73)
Source: RNAcentral